RNAcentral lists this ribosomal RNA (253 nucleotides) under uncultured bacterium. RNAcentral describes it as "partial 16S ribosomal RNA". It matches the Rfam family "Bacterial small subunit ribosomal RNA", at positions 524 to 776 of the family's 1533-position model. The record is from RNAcentral.
UACGAAGGGGGCUAGCGUUGCUCGGAAUCACUGGGCGUAAAGCGCACGUAGGCGGAUUGUUAAGUCAGGGGUGAAAUCCUGGAGCUCAACUCCAGAACUGCCUUUGAUACUGGAUGUCUCGAGACCGGGAGAGGUGAGUGGAAUUCCGAGUGUAGAGGUGAAAUUCGUAGAUAUUCGGAAGAACACCAGUGGCGAAGGCGGCUCACUGGCCCGGUUCUGACGCUGAGGUGCGAAAGCGUGGGGAGCAAACAGG